UUUUUUUUCUGCACAUAGCAGGAGAGAUGAAGCUCAGACCCCCCCCUAAAAUCUGUGGCAGAAGCUCCCAUAUAUGUGCCCUUAUGGUCCACAUAUUUUAUAUACUGCCCUGUACCUAUUUGCAGACAGACCCUUAAUAGCAUUUUGAGGAGAGAAGGUUUCGGUGGCACGUUAAAUGUGUUGAUGCUUCUGACUCAUCACGAUUGUAAAACAUGAUAGGAGUGGGAGGGGUGGUCCUAGGUGUCACAGGAAUGGCUCCACCAAUAUCAGAAUCUACCCCACGAUUCCACCAUCCCUGAAUGUCCUACAGUUAGAUCAGUGGCUGUAUCACAUUAGGGACUCUUCAGACAUUUCAGCGUCUCACCGCAUACCCAGAUGAUAUUGCACAGACGCCUUGCAUUACAGGACCCAUUUCCUAGGCUUGGCUGCGCAGCUUUUCCUCUGAGUGAGGCAAAAAUCACUUAGCAAGAUGAAGGAAGAUUGUUCAGUUUGAGCAUGUCCUUAUCAAAAUGGCUCUUUUCCGUCCUUGUAGUUUCAAAGCAGGAUUUGUAGGCAUGUCACUGCAGUUUAAUGAUCUGCUCCUUUCUGCUGAGUGCUCCUAGCAUUACAGAAGCUAAACCAUUAAAAUAUGUGUUUCUCUCACAGCGUGGACACUUGGCUCUAAGUAUUACUUAAAAGACAUGGGUAAACACAGGAAAAGAUGUCUCAGCAGGAGGGAAGUGAUUGUGGGGACAGUAUGUUCUGACAGCAAUUCAAAAUUACCAGUAGGCUACAGAGUAGGAAGUCAUAGAUAACAAGUUGUUUUAUUUAAAUAGCCAGCGGGUCUCAGCCCAGAGAACAAUAGAGUCUGCUCCUACAGAUGGUGCCAUACGCGUGGUGGGAACUUCAUUUGGUCAGGCUGAUAAAAGCAAGAAAAAGGCAGAUAACAUCACUGAGGAAUGGACCAGGCUGAAAGGUUGGCUCUGUUUCUCCUUUUGCCCACAGCAGAGAAAGUCACAUAAGGCAUUUGAGAUUUGAGAUGAAGUAUGCUUCAACCUGCAGGAGGUCUGCGUGGGCAGAGUGCGCUUGGUGUGAUGCACAUCCCACAGCACACACUUCACAGCCUGGAGAAGUGAGCUAGGAGCUCACAUUCACAGCUGGAAAUCAUCAGCCUUCCUUAGCAAGAUCAGGAUAUCUCAGGGUAAAUGCUGUGCCACUGACUGCAUGUUUCUGGCGUCUGUGCUGUGAGUUGUUUUUUGAGUUGUAGGCAGGGGGCAAACGCACCUCUCCCAGUAUUGUAGUGUCUAAUCACUUCCCAAAUUUUAAUGUGUUUAUCAUCACAUCGACCCUCUGAGAUAUGAGAUUAGAGGUAAGAUUUUGAAGCACAAAGUCUUGGGUCAGGUUUUGAAAAUAUUA
RNAcentral lists this long non-coding RNA (1395 nucleotides) under Anser brachyrhynchus (Pink-footed goose). Its description in RNAcentral is "lncRNA (ENSABRG00000008823.1)". Lineage: Eukaryota; Metazoa; Chordata; Aves; Anseriformes; Anatidae. The record is from RNAcentral.